GACGAACGCUGGCGGCGUGCUUAACACAUGCAAGUCGAACGGAAGGGCGCGGCGUUUGUGGGGUUCUCGAUUGGGGAGCGGGGGAGUGACACGUGAGGAACCUGCCCUUGACUGUGGGAUAACUUCUGGGAACUGGGGCGAAUACCGCGGAGGAUCUCCUGCUGCACAUGGUUGGUUGGAAAGUGUCGGCGGUGGGGUCUGUACUCGCUGCUUAUCAGCUUGUUGGUGGGGUAGGGGCUUUCCAGGGCUUUGACGGGUAGCCUGCCUGAGAGGGUGACCGGCCACAUUGGGACUGCGAUACGGAGCAGACUCCUACGGGAGGCAGCAGUGGGGAACAUUGCAGAAUGGGCGGACGCCUGAUGCAGAAACGCUGCGUGCGGGAUGCCGGCUUUCGGGUUGUAAACCGAUUUCGACUGUGCUGAAGAGUGAGUGACGGUAAUGGGUCAAGAAGCACCGGCUAACUACGUG
Molecule: ribosomal RNA, 468 nt
Filed under: uncultured bacterium
Lineage: Bacteria
Description: partial 16S ribosomal RNA
Rfam family: Bacterial small subunit ribosomal RNA
Source: RNAcentral